This 459-nucleotide ribosomal RNA is filed under the name uncultured bacterium. RNAcentral's name for it is "partial 16S ribosomal RNA". It matches the Rfam family "Bacterial small subunit ribosomal RNA", at positions 338 to 795 of the family's 1533-position model. The record is from RNAcentral.
CCUACGGGAGGCAGCAGUGAGGAAUAUUGGUCAAUGGGAGUGAUCCUGAACCAGCCAAGCCGCGUGAGGGACGACGGCCCUAUGGGUUGUACACCUCUUUUGUCGGAGAACAAAACCCGGGACGUGUCCCGUACUGCGUGUAUCCGAAGAAAAAGCAUCGGCUAACUCCGUGCCAGCAGCCGCGGUAGUACGGAGGAUGCGAGCGUUAUCCGGAUUUAUUGGGUUUAAAGGGUGCGUAGGCGGUCCGUUAAGUCAGCGGUAAAAUUGUGGGGCUCAACCCCGUCGAGCCGGUGAAACUGGCAGACUUGAGUUGGCGAGAAGUACGCGGAAGGCGCGGUGUAGCGGUGAAAUGCAUAGAUAGCGCGCAGAACUCCGAUUGCGAAGGCAGCGUACCGGCGCCAGACUGACGCUGAGGCACGAAAGCGUGGGGAUCGAACAGGAUUAGAUACCCGGGUAGUC